AAUGGAGGAAACUCUGAUGCAGCGAUGCCGCGUGAGUGAAGAAGGCCCUUGGGUUGUAAAGCUCUUUCGUCGGGGAAGAAAAUGACUGUACCCGAAUAAGAAGGUCCGGCUAGCUUCGUGCCAGCAGCCGCGGUAAUACGAAGGGACCUAGCGUAGUUCGGAAUUACUGGGCUUAAAGAGUUCGUAGGUGGUUGAAAAAGUUAGUGGUGAAAUCCCAGAGCUUAACUCUGGAACUGCCAUUAAAACUUUUCAGCUAGAGUAUGAUAGAGGAAAGCAGAAUUUCUAGUGUAGAGGUGAAAUUCGUAGAUAUUAGAAAGAAUACCAAUUGCGAAGGCAGCUUUCUGGAUCAUUACUGACACUGAGGAACGAAAGCAUGGGUAGCGAAGAGGAUU
This 392-nucleotide ribosomal RNA is filed under the name uncultured Gammaproteobacteria bacterium. RNAcentral's name for it is "bacterial SSU rRNA". It matches the Rfam family "Bacterial small subunit ribosomal RNA", at positions 370 to 779 of the family's 1533-position model. Lineage: Bacteria; Pseudomonadati; Pseudomonadota; Gammaproteobacteria. The record is from RNAcentral.